AAUCAGAAUACACCAGACACAUGGAUGAAAUUGCCAAAGAACAAAAUUAAUUAAAACAAAUUACGUCUUCCAUAAACCUGCUUAAUGCCCUUAGAAAAGCAAAAGCUCUUUGCCACUGAAGGACAAGCAGGGCUCUUAAAGCAGGUGAUACAGGUUGCACACAUCUGCUGAAUUCAGGACAAGAAGAACUAACUGAGGUCUACCUAGACAUCCUCACCCUUGGUCUGCAGAAAUCUCUGGAGAGCCCAGAGCCCGACAGCAGCCGAGCAGACACUGAGGCAGGGCAGUCCUCUCCAUACACUGCGGCCCCACAAUGCACCUCAUAUAAAACUGCAGACGUCAUAUUUACAACUGAUGGGGCAGGAAGAGGCUCAGCAGGGGAAGGCUCAAGCCGUGCAGCCUGGAGAUCUGCUAAGACCCCGGACCGCAUGGUGGGAGGGCAAAACAGACUCUGAGCAUUGUCCUCUGACCUACACAGCACAAAUCUCACACACACACACACACACACACACACAUACACGAAAAUAGAAUUAUUGGCAUCUUACAUAUAUGUUAAGGAGAAAAUUUUGUUCUUAAAUACCACUGGCUUAAAGUAAAAAGUUUAUGAUAAAAAAACUGUCCUUCAUUCAAAACCACGGUCCGAAAAUCAACAAUUAUAUUUGAUGAAACACCAUCUUCUACUUUCCACCAGCUAACCUAGACACUAGACUAUAUUACCAAUAAUGAUAAUAACAACAUUUUAAGUUACAUAUUUAAGAUUUACUCUAUUAACUCACACAAAUAACAAGUAAUUUCCAAUUCAAACAAAGCAAAACAAGAUAAUCAUUUGUUACACAAUAAUAUACCAGGCAAUAAUAUUUGUUUUACAAAGUUUUAAUAGGUUUGGUUGGCUUUCCUAUUGCUUUCAUUAAGAAUAAAAACUUAAACCAUACACCUGUAAUCCCAGGGUAAGUAAGGCCCGAGGGUUCAGCAUCACCCUAAGCUGCACAGUGAGGUCUUGUCUCAAAAAGUAAGGCAAACAAACAAAUAAUAAAAAAUAUAAUAAAAAGACUGGCAACUGCUCUAAAUUGCUAAAUAAGUACUUUUAUAACUAGGUUAUAUAGGUAUAUUUUAAUGACUGAAGACUACAUGUGAGAAGGAUAUUCCUGACUGACUAGUGCACUUGAUCUGGAAGUUAGGAAAUGAGGUUUGGAUACCUGCUGAGGUGGCUCCCACUAGCACACUGUAGGACGCGUCCUCUCUCCGGUGUGAGAUACGACAAGGUUCCCUCUGAGCGACUUCCAACACUAGCUGGAAUCUCAAGAAAGAAUGUCUUCUUUAUAGUUGAAUCCUAAACGCCUACAAACUUUGGAGAACUAAGCAGUGCCCGGAAAGGCAUAGUACUCUCAUGGAACAUGACAGACUACUGCUUUUCACUUCUCCGUCCCUUCACCGACCUUUCUGAGGAAUUAAAAGAAAAAAAAAUGGUUUCUAUAUUUAGAAGUAAAACUUAAAACCAGCAUGAAAUAAUAGGGACCUUCCAUUCUUAGGAAAUACUUUCUAAAACGAGAAUCACGUUGGCAUCAGUGUGUUAAGUGAGUUCUCAGGUAGUUUUCUGGGCUAUUAGUGAGUGUGCAUAAGACAAAUUAUAAAGCAAAAAUGUGCUUCAUCACUUACAAUCAUUAACUACAUCUUUAAUGGUAAAUAAAGUCAAUGUGUGGUAAAAAUGGGAAUCUGUGAUGGUUAACUUUAAUUAUCACCCAGACACAAUCUAGAAUGACUAGGAAGACAGUCUCCAUGAGAAAUGGUCUUGAUUAAGCUGGUUAGUGGGCAUGCCUGUCUGGGAUUGUCUCAGUUGGGUUGACGUGGGAAGAACCAUCCAGGCUGUAGGUGGCACUAUACUAUGGGCUGGACCCGGACUAAAUAAAACAGAGCAAAGGGAAACAUGCAUGCCAGCAUGCAUUCAGUUUGCCUCUGUUCGUGGUUGUGGAUGUUUCUAGUUGCUUUAAGCUCCUGCUGCCUUGACUGCAGUGAUGAGCUAUAAUCUCCAAGUGUGAGCCGAAUAAAGUUUUCUCUCUCACAAUUGCUGUCAGGUUAUCUUAUCACAAGAGGAAAUGGAAGUAGGAUGGGCUCUAAGAAUGACUUCGGCAUAUCAUUACAGAAUCCUCAAAACACAAGGCUGGGCACUGGGUGAGUGUCAGAAACGACCAAAGAAGUUACAAGACGUCAUCUUCACCAACACGAAGAUUAUCCGCAUGUUCAAAGACACUUCACUAUUUUUGUGUUGUGACAAUUCUAUAACCAAA
Myodes glareolus (Bank vole) is the source of this 2285-nucleotide non-coding RNA. The record is from RefSeq and is a predicted model, not a curated record. NCBI's taxonomy places the organism in Eukaryota, Metazoa, Chordata, Mammalia, Rodentia, Cricetidae.